UGGGGAAUAUUGCACAAUGGGCGAAAGCCUGAUGCAGCAACGCCGCGUGAGGGACGACGGCCUUCGGGUUGUAAACCUCUUUUAGCAAGGAAGAAGCGAAAGUGACGGUACUUGCAGAAAAAGCGCCGGCUAACUACGUGCCAGCAGCCGCGGUAAUACGUAGGGCGCAAGCGUUAUCCGGAAUUAUUGGGCGUAAAGAGCUCGUAGGCGGUUUGUCGCGUCUGCUGUGAAAACCCGAGGCUCAACCUCGGGCCUGCAGUGGGUACGGGCAGACUAGAGUGCGGUAGGGGAGAUUGGAACUCCUGGUGUAGCGGUGGAAUGCGCAGAUAUCAGGAAGAACACCGAUGGCGAAGGCAGAUCUCUGGGCCGUAACUGACGCUGAGGAGCGAAAGGGUGGGGAGCAAAACAGGCUUAGAUACCCUGGUAGUCCACCCGUAAACGUUGGGAACUAGUUGUGGGGUCCAUUCCACGGAUUCCGUGACGCAGCUAACGCAUUAAGUUCCCCGCCUGGGGAGUACGGCCGCAAGGCUAAAACUUGAAAUGAAUUGACGGGGUCAUAGCUG
Molecule: ribosomal RNA, 563 nt
Filed under: uncultured bacterium
Lineage: Bacteria
Description: partial 16S ribosomal RNA
Rfam family: Bacterial small subunit ribosomal RNA
Source: RNAcentral